RNAcentral lists this ribosomal RNA (365 nucleotides) under uncultured Victivallaceae bacterium. Its description in RNAcentral is "bacterial SSU rRNA". It matches the Rfam family "Bacterial small subunit ribosomal RNA", at positions 1016 to 1382 of the family's 1533-position model. The record is from RNAcentral. Lineage: Bacteria; Pseudomonadati; Lentisphaerota; Lentisphaeria; Victivallales; Victivallaceae.
CUCUUCGGAGCGGGUAGUACAGGUGCUGCAUGGCUGUCGUCAGCUCGUGCCGUGAGGUGUUCCGGUUAAGUCCGGCAACGAGCGCAACCCGUACUGCCAGUUACCAGCGGAUCAUGCCGGGGACUCUGGCAGGACUGCCCGUGUCAAGCGGGAGGAAGGUGCGGAUGACGUCAAGUCAGUAUGGCCCUUACGCCCAGGGCUGCACACGUGCUACAAUGGCCGGUACAAUGGGCUGCAACACGGCGACGUGAAGCCAAUCCUGAAAACCGGCCCAGUUCGGAUCGAAGUCUGCAACUCGACUUCGUGAAGUCGGAAUCGCUAGUAAAGGGUAUCAGCUACGGCCCUUGAAUACGUUCCCGGGCCUU